AAACGACUCUCGGCAACGGAUAUCUCGGCUCUUGCAUCGAUGAAGAACGUAGCGAAAUACGAUACUUGGUGUGAAUUGCAGAAUCCCGUGAACCAUCGAGUCUUUGAACGCAAGUUGCGCCCGAAGCCAUUAGGCCGAGGGCACGCCUGCCUGGGUGUCACAC
This 163-nucleotide ribosomal RNA is filed under the name Bambusa vulgaris. RNAcentral describes it as "5.8S ribosomal RNA". It matches the Rfam family "5.8S ribosomal RNA". From Rfam's summary of the family: 5.8S ribosomal RNA (5.8S rRNA) is a component of the large subunit of the eukaryotic ribosome. It is transcribed by RNA polymerase I as part of the 45S precursor that also contains 18S and 28S rRNA. Functionally, it is thought that 5.8S rRNA may be involved in ribosome translocation. Lineage: Eukaryota; Viridiplantae; Streptophyta; Magnoliopsida; Poales; Poaceae. The record is from RNAcentral.